This 2843-nucleotide ribosomal RNA is filed under the name Kudoa miyakoensis. RNAcentral's name for it is "eukaryotic LSU rRNA". It matches the Rfam family "Eukaryotic large subunit ribosomal RNA", at positions 1 to 2614 of the family's 3401-position model. Lineage: Eukaryota; Metazoa; Cnidaria; Myxozoa; Multivalvulida; Kudoidae. The record is from RNAcentral.
UGGACCUCAACUCAGGCAAGACUACCUGCUGAACUUAAGCAUAUCAGUAAGCAGAGGAAAAGAAAACAACUGUGAUUCCCUUAGUAACUGCGAGUGAAGCGGGAAAAGCCCAUCGUUUAAUCUCCUCGUCCGCAGCGGCGGGGCGAAAUGUAACGGUAUGGAUAGGUUCUCUACCAACAAGGUCUGAUCAAAGUCCUCCGGAUUGAGGUGCCAAAGAGGGUGACAGCCCCGUGUGUGAUUGGACUGAGUUGGGCAUGUGGCCGAUUCCGAGAGUCGGGUUGUUUGGGACUGCAACCUAAAGCAGGUGGUAAACUCCACCCAAGGCUAAAUAUUGACACGAAACCGAUAGCGAACAAGUACUGUGAAGGAAAGUUGAAAAGAACUCUGAAAAGAGAGUUAAAAGUACGUGAAACCGCUAACGGGGAAGCGGAAGGCAGUGUCGAGAUCGAGUGAGUGAGUCUGCUCAAGAGUGAUUUUGGGUGGGCUAGCUUUGCUUGAUGCGUCAGGGCCGUUGGUGUGCGAUGGUUCAAUUGUGGGCAUGGCUUUCACAGCAAAUUCUUGUUUGUGGAUGCGGCUGGCAAUCCGCCUCGUGUGCUGACGUGCGAGUGAGGAGCGUUGGUGAUGUAUUGUCGGUUGGUGCGGUGUGGUGGUUCGCACUGGUCACAGUGUGGCUACGUGCGGACAAGUCAUGUGGUAGUUCAACAACCAAUGCUAGUUCCUGGCGUGAUACCCAACCUUCCGACCCGUCUUGAAACACGGACCAAGGAGGCAGAAUCUAGAGCGAGUUGGAGGGUGGAAAACCCGACGGCGUAGUGAAAGCGAGAGAUGAGACCCAGCGGCCUCGGCUGUUGGAGCAUCAUCGGCCAGUCAGUUGUGAUUGAGUUUGAGCUGUAGAUGCUGGACCCGAAAGAUGGUGAACUAUGCGUGAGCAGGGCGAAGCCAGAGGAAACUCUGGUGGAGGCUCGAAGCGAUUCUGACGUGCAAAUCGAUCGUUAGACUUGCGUAUAGGGGCGAUAGACUAAUCGAACCAUCUAGUAGCUGGUUCCCUUCGAAAUAUCCCUCAGGAUCGCUGAGACAAGUGGGAGACAGUUUCAUCGGGUAGAGCGAAUGAUUAGAGGAAUCGGGGAUAUAUUACUCUCGACCUAUUCUCAAACUUCCAACCGGUGAGAGUGCUGUUUGCUUGUGUGAAAUAGUACGUGGAAUGUUUUUGUCUCAAGUGGGCCAUUUUUGGUAAGCAGAACUGGCGAUGCGGGAUGAACCGAGAGUUGAGCUAAGGUGCCUAAGGACACGUUGAUAGAUACCACAAAAGGAGUCGGUCGAUAAAGACAGCAGGGCGGUGGCCCUGAAAGUAGGAAUCCGCUAAGGAAUUGUCUAAAAACUCACCUGCCGAAUCGRCCGGCCCUGAAAAUGGAUGGCGCUGAAGCGUGUCACCGAUGCUCGACCUCUACAACGAGAGAUGAUUGUAGGGGGUAGAAGGGCGCGGCGGUGGCGACAAAGUACAAAGUGCAAACUUGUAUGGAGCCGCCGUCGGUGUAGAUCUUGGUGGUAGUAGCAAUUAUAAAAGUGAAAACCUUUUAGGCCGAAGUGGAGAAGGGUUCCACGUGAACAGCAGUUGGACGUGGGUUAGUCGGUCCUAAGCGGUAGCCUAACGGUAAUUCCAAAGCCAACUUGUCGUCAGUUUCGAUUGACCGAGUUGGAAUCCGCGAAAGGGAAUCAGGUUAAUAUUCCUGAACCGGGCUAUGGAGACGCUGCCUUUUGUGUUGUGUGGGGGUUCGCUCUCGGGCAGCGCUGGGGCAGCUUAGCGGUAACGCAAGCAAUCUCGGAGACGUUGACAUCUAUGGCGGGGAGAAUUAUCUUUUCUGCAUAACAGGUAAACCACCUUGGAAUCGAGUCGUUCGGAGAUAAGGUAGAAAGCCUGGAAGAGCACCGCAACUUUUGCAGUGUCCGCAGUGUAGGUGUCGGCCCUUGAAAAUCCGAGGGAGUGGAUAAAUUUCAUGCCCGUCCGUACCGAAUCCGCAUCAGGUCUCCUAGGUGAGCAGCCUCUGGCACUGGAACAAUGUAGGUAAGGGAAGUCGGCAAAAUAGAUCCGUAACUUUGGGAAAAGGAUUGGCUCUAAGGGCCGGGCCAAUCGAGCUAGUAUUACCUAGGCUCGUGGGGGUUUGACUGGGUGGCCCAUCAAGCCGACGCUGUUGUGUUUGGGGGUUUGCUUGGUCGAGUCAACGCUGGCCAUGGAAUGCCGGCGUGAGUUUCCAGCAAGCCGAGUUGCCGCAAGGUGGCUCGGUCGAUGGGGCUCUUUACGAGUGGCAAGCAUCGGUCGACUUAGAACUGUUACCAACUUGGGGAAUCCGACUGUUUAAUUAAAACAAAGCAUUGCGAUGGCCCUAAUGGGUGUUGACGCAAUGUGAUUUCUGCCCAGUGCUCUGAAUGUCAAAGUGCGGAAACGCAACCAAGCACGGGUAAACGGCGGGAGUAACUAUGACUCUUUAAAGGUAGCCAAAUGCCUCGUCAUCUAAUUAGUGACGCGCAUGAAUGGAUCAACGAGAUUCCCACUGUCCCUACCUACCAUCCAGCGAAACCACAGUCAAGGGAACGGGCUUGACUGAGACAGCGGGGAAAGAAGACCCUGUUGAGCUUGACUCUAGUUUGAUUUUGUGAGAAGACAUGAGGGGUGUAGAAUAGGUGGGAGGUCUCGCAAGGGGCCGUCGGUGAAAUACCACUACCUUCAUCGUUUUCACACUAAGUCGGUUACACGGGGAAUACUUGUCCUCACAAAGGGGGCAGGUGGAUUCGUGGCUAUAAGACAGACCGAUCUGUUGACCCAUCGCCGAUGACAGAAUCAGAUG